AUGCGUGGUAUCAAGAGGCGCAUUGAGGCGCUCCUGCAGCCUCCUCCCGGCACGGGACUCCUCACAACCCCCAGCCUCAGCUUCCCCGACAGGGCAGGGGCUCAGUCUUCCCCACUCCGGGCCAGGAACGCAGCCUGCUUGCCUUUUGUCCAAUUGGGUGCUCUUUCUUUGCGACUGAUACAAAGUAGGAACAAACUCCGCUUCCGGUGAUGCCCGGGCCCCAGGAGGCUGGGGGAGAAGUGCACGCUGCCCAGCCUUCAACCUGAACUGCCCCCAGCACUUCCGAGCCCCGACCCCUGCAGCUGUGAGGGAAGCCCCUACCUCUGCCCUGGCCACAUCCUUCCCCUGAUCUCAUGGCUGAAAAGCCACACCAGAAUUCCUGCAGUUCAGUGAAGCAGCUGUUCAAAACCAAGCAGCUGGUGACGCACAGGGACAGAGGGGCCCAGGGGCUGCCGGCUGCCAGGACCACCGCAUUGCAGAGGUCUCCCUUGCAGCAGGAGAUCUGGGAGUCCACGACGGCACUUGUUCUUCCAGGCAGGUAACUCACUGAAUGCUCACAGCCUGCCCCUCUCCUGCAUGGAGCUGAACCUGCCCUCUGCCCUGGCACCCCAGGGACUCACUGCCAAAGACGCUCACUUUCUGGGAGACACAGACCCCAUCCAGGAAGGGGCACAAGACCAUGCUGCAGGAGGCCCCUUCCAAGACCGCCAACCAUCCAUAGCAGCGCAGACCCUGAGCUGGGAGAGAGGGCAAGAAAACACACCCCUGGUGGAGAUUUAAGAUGCUAAUGACACAUGCGACGUGUGAGCAAGCAGGUGCAGUUACUGUGCGUGUGCACCCAGAGGACCCCCCCAGAACAUGCUUCCUAGCAACACCUCUGCCCACCCGCUGAUUCUCUCGGCACCACGGGAACCACCUUCUCUACUCUCACUGAACACCCCUGGGAUGUAUCUGUAAAAAUUGGAACACCUUUCGGCUAGAAACCAGAGGAAGCCGCUCAUGACACCCGGGAGCUCACAGAGGCUCUGAAGUUUCUAUUCAAGAAAACAACUCCAGAUGGGGCUGAUCUGGAAGACAAGUAACAUCUUCCUUUUCUUGGUGCUCGCCUGCCGUGCUCUAGGUGCUUUUAGAGAUGCUGGUCUGUGUGCUAGGGAAGCGAUGAACCAUACUGUUAGUCUAUUAAGCAUAACUCAACCUGG
RNAcentral lists this long non-coding RNA (1199 nucleotides) under Pan troglodytes (chimpanzee). Its description in RNAcentral is "lincRNA". Lineage: Eukaryota; Metazoa; Chordata; Mammalia; Primates; Hominidae. The record is from RNAcentral.